This 1018-nucleotide ribosomal RNA is filed under the name uncultured bacterium. RNAcentral describes it as "bacterial SSU rRNA". It matches the Rfam family "Bacterial small subunit ribosomal RNA", at positions 382 to 1401 of the family's 1533-position model. The record is from RNAcentral.
UCUGAUCCAGCCAUGCCGCGUGCAGGAAGACGGCCUUAUGGGUUGUAAACUGCUUUUAUACGGGAGCAAUAAGGGUUACGAGUAAUCCGAUGAGAGUACUGUAUGAAUAAGGAUCGGCUAACUCCGUGCCAGCAACCGCGGUAAUACGGAGGAUCCGAGCGUUAUCCGGAAUUAUUGGGUUUAAAGGGUGCGUAGGCGGCCAUUUAAGUCAGCGGUGAAAUUUUGCAGCUUAACUGUAACAGUGCCGUUGAUACUGUUUGGCUAGGAUUUGGUUGUAGUGUGCGGAAUGUGUGGUGUAGCGGUGAAAUGCUUAGAUAUCACACAGAACACCGAUUGCGAAGGCAGCACACUAAGUCAUUAUUGACGCUGAGGCACGAAAGUGUGGGGAUCAAACAGGAUUAGAUACCCUGGUAGUCCACACUGUAAACGAUGAUAACUCGCUGUCGGCGAUACACAGUCGGUGGCCAAGCGAAAGCAUUAAGUUAUCCACCUGGGGAGUACGACCGCAAGGUUGAAACUCAAAGGAAUUGACGGGGGCCCGCACAAGCGGAGGAACAUGUGGUUUAAUUCGAUGAUACGCGAGGAACCUUACCCGGGCUCGAACGGUGCAUGAAUAUACGAGAGAUUGUAUAGUCCUUCGGGACAUGUAUCGAGGUGCUGCAUGGUUGUCGUCAGCUCGUGCCGUGAGGUGUCGGCUUAAGUGCCAUAACGAGCGCAACCCUUGUCAUUAGUUGCCAUCAGGUCAAGCUGGGGACUUUAAUGAGACUGCCACCGUAAGGUGUGAGGAAGGGGGGGAUGACGUCAAAUCAGCACGGCCCUUAUGUCCGGGGCGACACACGUGUUACAAUGGGAGGUACAGAGGGCAGCUAUCCGGUGACGGAAUGCUAAUCUCCAAAACCUUUCUCAGUUCGGAUUGGAGUCUGCAACUCGACUCCAUGAAGGUGGAUUCGCUAGUAAUCGCGCAUCAGCCAUGGCGCGGUGAGUACGUUCCCGGGCCUUGUACACACCGCCCGUCAAG